Molecule: ribosomal RNA, 502 nt
Filed under: uncultured bacterium
Lineage: Bacteria
Description: partial 16S ribosomal RNA
Rfam family: Bacterial small subunit ribosomal RNA
Source: RNAcentral
AUUGAACGCUGGCGGCAUGCCUUACACAUGCAAGUCGAACGGCAGCACGGGUGCUUGCACCUGGUGGCGAGUGGCGAACGGGUGAGUAAUAUAUCGGAACGUACCUUAUUGUGGGGGAUAACGCAGCGAAAGCUGUGCUAAUACCGCAUAAUCCCUAAGGGGGAAAGCGGGGGACCGUAAGGCCUCGCGCAAUUAGAGCGGCCGAUACCUGAUUAGCUAGUUGGUGAGGUAAAGGCUCACCAAGGCAACGAUCAGUAGCUGGUCUGAGAGGACGAUCAGCCACACUGGGACUGAGACACGGCCCAGACUCCUACGGGAGGCAGCAGUGGGGAAUUUUGGACAAUGGGCGCAAGCCUAAUCCAGCAAUGCCGCGUGCAGGAAGAAGGCCUUCGGGUUGUAAACUGCUUUUGUACGGAACGAAACGGUCUGGGUUAAUACCCUGGGCUAAUGACGGUACCGUAAGAAUAAGCACCGGCUAACUACGUGCCAGCCGCCGCCGUAA